GAUGAACGCUAGCGGGAGGCUUAAUACAUGCAAGUCGAACGGUAAGGUUCCGACCUAGUCGGAAUACACGAGUGGCGCACGGGUGAGUAACGCGUACACAACCUACCCUUCAGUGGGGAAUAGCCCUGGGAAACUGGGAUUAAUACCCCAUAAUAUUGGAGUCUUCAGAUUCCAAUUAAAGUUCCGACGCUGAAGGAUGGGUGUGCGUCCCAUUAGCUAGAUGGUGAGGUAACGGCUCACCAUGGCAACGAUGGGUAGGGGGCGUGAGAGCGUGAUCCCCCACACGGGUACUGAGACACGGACCCGACUCCUACGGGAGGCAGCAGUAAGGAAUAUUGGACAAUGGGCGAAAGCCUGAUCCAGCCAUCCCGCGUGCAGGAUGAAUGCCCUAUGGGUUGUAAACUGCUUUUAUGAAGGAAGAAACCCUUGGAUUUAUCCGAGGUUGACGGUACUUCAAGAAUAAGCACCGGCUAACUCCG
This 479-nucleotide ribosomal RNA is filed under the name uncultured Saprospiraceae bacterium. RNAcentral's name for it is "bacterial SSU rRNA". It matches the Rfam family "Bacterial small subunit ribosomal RNA", at positions 28 to 505 of the family's 1533-position model. Lineage: Bacteria; Pseudomonadati; Bacteroidota; Saprospiria; Saprospirales; Saprospiraceae. The record is from RNAcentral.